Oncorhynchus tshawytscha (Chinook salmon) is the source of this 366-nucleotide long non-coding RNA. The record is from Ensembl. NCBI's taxonomy places the organism in Eukaryota, Metazoa, Chordata, Actinopteri, Salmoniformes, Salmonidae.
ACAAGGUAGCCCUACAAGUCAGUCAACAAGGUAGCAUUACAGGUCAGCCAACAAGGUAACCCUACAGGUCAGUCUGCAAGGUAGCCCUACAGGUCAGUCAACAAGGUAGCCCUACAAGUCACUCAACAAGGUAGCCCUACAAGUCAGUCAACAAGGUAGCCCUACAAGUCAGUCAACAAGGUAGCAUUACAGGUCAGCCAACAAGGUAACCCUACAGGUCAGUCUGCAAGGUAGCCCUACAGGUCAGUCAGCAAGGUAGCCCUACAAGUCAGUCAACAAGGUAGCCCUACAGGUCAGUCAACAAGGUAGCCCUACAAAUCAGUCAACAAGCUAGCCCUACAGGUCAGUCAACAAGGUAGCCCUACA